RNA transcript from Piliocolobus tephrosceles (Ugandan red Colobus), 1944 nucleotides. It is a transcript of the gene named transmembrane protein 156, with no coding region annotated. Lineage: Eukaryota; Metazoa; Chordata; Mammalia; Primates; Cercopithecidae. The transcript is spliced from 9 exons. The record is from RefSeq and is a predicted model, not a curated record.
UCUAAAGUACUGCAGAGAUGAAACUUAAAGCAGGAAGCAACAUACCAUGAGUAUACUGGAAGGGAACACAUUUGUGUCAUGUGAAGAGACAUGACAAAAACAGCCCUCCUUAAAUUAUCUGUGGCAAUAGUGAUCACGUUCAUUUUAAUUUUGCCGGAAUAUUUCAAGACACCGAAAGCAUCAUUCUCAAGAAAGAAUGUUCUGAAAAGAAGGAAUAACACUAGAUGGAUAAAUAAACUUUCUGAAAGAACAUUGGAGCUAUCAUGUCUGGAAGUGUGUUUACAAUCUAAUUUUACCUAUUCACUCUCCUCCUUAAAUUUUUCUUUUGUGACUUUUCUGCAACCAGUAAGGGAAACUCAAAUUAUCAUGAGAAUCUUUCUAAAUCCCUCCCAUUUUCAUAAUUUCACCAGGACUUGCCAAGACAUCACAGGUGAAUUUAAAAUGUGCUCCUUGUGUUUGGUUUGUGAGUCUAAAGGAAACAUGGAUUUUAUUUCUCAGGAACAAACAUCAAAAGUUCUUAUCAGGAGAGGAUCAAUGGAAGUGAAAGCAAAUGACUUUCAUUCACCUUGUCAGCAGUUUAACUUCACUGUAGCUCCUCUGGUUGACCACUUGGAGGAAUAUAACACUAACUGUCAUCUAAAAAACCACACUGGAAGAUCAGCAAUCAUGGAGGAUGAGCCAAGCAAGGGGAAACCUAUAAACCAUACCUGUAGAAUCAUGGAAUACCCGAACGAUUGUAUACACGUUUCUUUGCACCUAGAGAUGGAUGUAAAAAAUAUCACUUGUUCCAUGAAGAUCACUUGGUAUAUUUUAGUUCUAUUAGUUUUUAUGUUUUUGAUCAUCCUCACUAUCCGCAAAAUACUUGAAGGCCACAGAAGAGUGCAGAAGUGGCAGAGUGAUAGAGACAAACCUACAUCUGUUCUCUUAAGAGGAAGUGAUUCGGAGAAACUGAGAGCAUUGAAUGUGCAGGUUAUUUCAGCCUCAAGGCAGCCACACUAGCUUUGCGAAAGCCACAGGGAAGUGAUCUUGGUUGUGCAGGUGUCAGUCCCCACUGCCAAAACUUUGAAUGGAACGUGUGGGGCAAGGCCAGGACCCUGCCAGGAUUGGCCGCUUGGCUGCUGCUGCCCACAAGGCUGCACAGGGGCCUCAGCAGAGACCAAGCUGAGGCUGCCUUUGGAUGAAGUCCAGGAAGUGCUUCCCCCAAUACCAGAACUAUAAGUUACUUCCACAGUGUAUCCGUGAGAUCAAUAUACACGAAUAUCCCUGGGCACCUUGGACUGAGCCCUUUGAAGAAUACUCAUAAUUUUAUUUUGUGAAUGAGUAGACUGGAAAAUGUUUGGGUCCAGCUGAGGAUGCACAGUUGGAAAGCAGGAGGAAUGCUGACUGGUUGAUGAAAACUAGCUUACGAGCAUUCAUUUGACCCAUGAGAUCAAGGGAACAAGAGUGUUUGCAAGAAGCCAUUAUGAGUCAUGGAAAACAAGAUGAUGAAACCCAUGGAAACAGCAAGAGAAUUCCUACUCUUUCUCUUCUUAAAAAAAUCUAUCACAUACAGCACAGAAUGGAGUCAAGAUUUUAAUUUUGAGGAACCAAAAAAAAGGAUCAAAUAUGAAAAUGCUUUCUUUUAUUGGGCCACAUUGUAGGUGCUGAUUUGAUAAUUUUUUCCUAUGCAGAUAGAUUAUUUCUAUUUUGUAGAUUAUUUAAGAGGGUCUGGUUGUUUGUUUAUACGUUUGUUUGCAUUUAUGAAUCUUGCUGCCUUUUGGCACCAGGAUGUUUUUAAAAAAAUUCAAAGAGGCCGGGCGCGGUGGCUAAUGCCUGUAAUCCCAGCACUUUGGGAGGCCGAGACAGGAGGAUCACAAAGUCAAGAGAUCGAGAUGAUCUUGGCCAACAUGGUGAAACCCCGCCUCUAUUAAAAAUACAAAAAUUAGCUGGGUGUGGCGGCACGUG